Molecule: long non-coding RNA, 617 nt
Organism: Mandrillus leucophaeus (drill)
Lineage: Eukaryota; Metazoa; Chordata; Mammalia; Primates; Cercopithecidae
Exons: 3
Source: RefSeq, a predicted model, not a curated record
AGGGUUAUGAUGAUGGCUACGGGGGUGAAUAUGAUGACCAGACCUAUGAAGCUUAUGAUAACAGCUAUGCGACCCAAACACAAAGUGUGCCUGAAUACUAUGACUACGGUCAUGGAGUAAGUGAGGAUGCCUAUGACAGCUACGCACCAGAAGAAUGGGCCACAACCCGCUCUAGCUUGAAGGCACCACCACCGAGGUCAGCAAGAGGGGGAUACAGGGAACACCCCUAUGGUAGAUAUUGAAGGUCCUUCCCACCUGUGACCUCACCUUAAAGACAAUUCAUAGCCUGUGGUCUCCACAUAAACAGCAACAAGACAAGUAAUAGUCCUUUUUUUUUUGUUUGUUGUUUUCUAUUCUAGGGAUAACUGCUCAUGAUUACUCCCAUAUAUUUCUUGUAUUUCCCUCUAUACUGUUGGUGUGACAUUGACACUAGUAUUAUUUUACAAAACAGACUGAAAAAGACAUUGGCAAGCAUAGUCUAUAAACCUCUCAGUAGGAUGAUAUUCUCUUGGUUGUUUUUCAUUGUUGUGUGUAAUCUUUUUUUUUUUUUCCUUUUUUUUUUUUUUUUGAGACGGAGUCUCGCUCUGUCACCAGGCUGGAGUUCUCAACCAACUAGC